RNAcentral lists this ribosomal RNA (497 nucleotides) under uncultured bacterium. RNAcentral describes it as "partial 16S ribosomal RNA". It matches the Rfam family "Bacterial small subunit ribosomal RNA", at positions 28 to 507 of the family's 1533-position model. The record is from RNAcentral.
GAUGAACGCUGGCGGCGUGCCUAAUACAUGCAAGUCGAGCGAACGGACGAGAAGCUUGCUUCUCUGAUGUUAGCGGCGGACGGGUGAGUAACACGUGGAUAACCUACCUAUAAGACUGGGAUAACUUCGGGAAACCGUAGCUAAUACCGGAUAAUAUUUUGAACCGCAUGGUUCAAAAGUGAAAGACGGUCUUGCUGUCACUUAUAGAUGGAUCCGCGCUGCAUUAGCUAGUUGGUAAGGUAACGGCUUACCAAGGCAACGAUGCAUAGCCGACCUGAGAGGGUGAUCGGCCACACUGGAACUGAGACACGGCCCAGACUCCUACGGGAGGCAGCAGUAGGGAAUCUUCCGCAAAGGGCGAAAGCCUGACGGAGCAACGCCGCGUGAGUGAUGAAGGUCUUCGGAUCGUAAAACUCUGUUAUUAGGGAAGAACAUAUGUGUAAGUAACUGUGCACAUCUUGACGGUACCUAAUCAGAAAGCCACGGCUAACUACGUG